UUCACUCUUUCAUUCCAUUCCAAUCUGAAACGCUUAUUUUUUACGUUUUUUCUUCCGUUCGUUUUCUUCUUUCUUUGUGUCGUUUCUAUUCAUGAAAAGGGUGUUGUUUUGCCAUACUCGAAGAAGAGGCUGAGGCGUCUUCCCUGCGUGUUCUCCAAUUCUUUCGUUCCUUUUCUCCUUCCCAGCGUCGUUUCUCUCUAGGGUUUUCGAAAUUGACAGAUUUGAGAGAGAUGCUUACAAAGAAGCUUACAAUGACCAGGUUUUGUUUGAUUGCUUGGUGUCUGAGAGGUUCUGGGGGCAGGAUUGGAUCCUCUUUUUAUGUAGACUAAAUUUGAUCUCAAUCAAUUUUCUUCUUGGCAGAUUUGCUGCUUCACUAAUUUGUGCAAAUCCGCUGAGGAGACAGAGUGAUGAAGACGGAAGUGGCGCUCAGGGGAGGCACCUUUCAUCGCGUCUGAUGUGAGCCUCCUUCUCACCAGCACCAUUCAUUGUGCUCUGUUUGCCUUCUAUUUAUUCAGCAGGAGUUUCGGCAUUGAGAAACCACACUAGAAGGGAUUGUUCUUUCACCUUGGAAAUCUAAUCAAGAUUCAGGCACAUGCUUUUACAGGUAAUUUUUCCAUCUUUCCUGCCAUUGAUGUGUAAAUAAGGUAGUUGUGGUGGUUUUCCAUCUUCCUUGCUUUUGAAAGUUCUGUCGGUUCUGGAGGUGAGAUAUUCCUCUGUCUCCAACUUUUUAAUUUUUGUAUGAAUUCUUACUUUUUCUUUAAUGUGACCAUCCCUCUUACGCCUCUCCCUUGAAGUGUGGAAGAACAAGUAAGAAUAAGUUCUGUGGAAUCCAUCCAUUUGUGACCUGCUUAAUAGGCUCUCCAUUGAUUAUUAGGAAUUGGACCUUGACACGUGUAUACCGUUUGGCGAGGACAAGCACUUGGUAGAAAAGCUUCCGCGAAAGGAAUUUGCUUUUGCAAAGCCUAGAGGCUUGGCUUGGAGGGUGUAUCUGUUGUCAUCUCUUCUCGGCUUCUCGCAAACAGGUUCGAUCUUCAAUUUCAAUGUAUUUUCUGACGGAUAAUGAAGAUGGGUCCGAAUGAUUUUCUUACUUUUGAGGCAAAGUCUUCAUUUAUAUAUGGGGGAGAAAUUGAUAAGAGGAAAUGCUAAUCACUAAAUUACAUGAUUGGUUGUGUUUCAUAUAAAUGAUUGUGUUUACAAAGUCCACAUGCACUAAUCAAGUGAGAGUGAUACUUCUGCACUAAUGUUUGUUCAUUACUGGAAAGUUUUUUUUUUUUUCGUUUGGUUGAAUUAAGCAGCAAAAUGUUGAUGUGGCUGCUGAAAAACUCUGUGCUCGGGAUAUAGGAAUUCAAGUGUUGGUGGAUGUUUGCCAUGUUUAUAUUGCUCAACUAAAGAAAAGUUUGAUUAACAAAGCUGUUUUUGUGAAAUUUUCUUCAAAUAAACUAUGAAAUUUGUAUAACAACAUGAUUUGUUAUUAGUUCUUCAGAUGAACUAGGCUGAAAAAUGUGAUUUAUGUCUGUUUCUUUUAUUCAAUCUUUUGAUUCUAGAUUUCUUUUAUUUAACUUCACUUCUUAUUAUGGUUUCCCCUUUUAUUUUAAUUUACAUUUCUCUUUUGAUUUUGGACUAGAACGUGGAAGUUGAAAGAGAAGCAAAGGGAAUAGAGUGUUUGUUGAGAGGCGUCCAUCAGUUAUCAUGUUAAGCAGCGAUAUAAACUCUUAUUUUAUUUUGCUUCUUUUUUACUUUUCAUGAUCUUUUUCUAUUUGUGUGCAAACUUCAAACUCUACACUUUAGCCAUUCCUUGAGGAAUUAUUUCAUCAGUUACUCCUGGCAAACUUGAAACUCUACAUAUUCUGCUAUAAGUUUUCAAGACAAAAUUGACAACUAAUCAAAAUAGUAUUUACAUUAUAAAGCAUGGGCAUAAGUUCUGAAGAUUGUAUACCACUCAAAUUUCUCUUCUCCAUGAUAAAACUUAGCAUCAUUUGACAAUUUUACUGAACAUGAAAAAUCUGUUUUGUUGUUGUAAAUUGAUGUCUAAAUUUUGGAGGAACCAUUAUGGAGGAACCAGGGGACUCAUUAGUAAUAAGUUCUAAAUUGGGAACAACACUAGUGCAUCCAUUUGAGGCCCUGAGAAUAUCCAAGCCUCUCAAGUCACAGACAAGGAGGACUUUCAAAAUUGGAAGAUCUUGGAUGCUAUAAACUGGAGAGAUUUCAGCCACAAAAAAAUUUAGAGCUUGGGUACAAGGAGAGAGCAGCAUCAUUGACUAUUACCAUCAAGAAAGAAUUGGAAUUUAGUGUGUAGUAUCAACGUGAUUACCUAUUGUGUGACCUUCCUGCCCUGCCCCUAAAAAGGAGAGAAUUUGUUGAGCUUUUUAUUUUUUGUAUAACUAUUGGUUGAAACUUAACCUGUGUUGUAUAAUAGAAAAAUGUAAUGAAUUAAUGAUCCUUAAUAAAGACUUUUGCGUUGUAUAA
Molecule: long non-coding RNA, 2466 nt
Organism: Lotus japonicus
Lineage: Eukaryota; Viridiplantae; Streptophyta; Magnoliopsida; Fabales; Fabaceae
Exons: 6
Source: RefSeq, a predicted model, not a curated record